This 253-nucleotide ribosomal RNA is filed under the name uncultured bacterium. RNAcentral describes it as "partial 16S ribosomal RNA". It matches the Rfam family "Bacterial small subunit ribosomal RNA", at positions 524 to 776 of the family's 1533-position model. The record is from RNAcentral.
UACAGAGGGUGCAAGCGUUGUUCGGAAUUAUUGGGCGUAAAGGGCGCGUAGGCGGUGCGGUAAGUCUGUAGUGAAAUCUCUGGGCUCAACUCAGAGUCUGCUAUAGAAACUGCCGUGCUUGAGUGUGGGAGAGGUGAGUGGAAUUCCACGUGUAGCGGUGAAAUGCGUAGAUAUGUGGAGGAAUACCGAUGGCGAAGGCAGCCUCCUGGGCCAACACUGACGCUCAUGCACGAAAGCGUGGGGAGCAAACAGG